GAUAGUAGGAGGAGGACCGGUUCAGUCUGCCAGGAUGCUGGGAACACAGCAAAAAUGGUUGCAUCCUUGAAACAGAGAAAGUCCAGUCUUUUACCAUAAGGGUGAAGUGGGCCAACAGCAGAAUGGGCAGUCAUGGUACAGACCCACCCCGUGGACUGGGUGGACAAAGGUGAGAAUGGCAUUUCUUGACACAACUUGACCCUGCACAGAUAAAAGUCAUGGGUGCAGGUUGA
RNAcentral lists this long non-coding RNA (233 nucleotides) under Capra hircus (goat). Its description in RNAcentral is "lncRNA (ENSCHIG00010018907.1)". The record is from RNAcentral. Lineage: Eukaryota; Metazoa; Chordata; Mammalia; Artiodactyla; Bovidae.